RNAcentral lists this ribosomal RNA (497 nucleotides) under uncultured bacterium. Its description in RNAcentral is "partial 16S ribosomal RNA". It matches the Rfam family "Bacterial small subunit ribosomal RNA", at positions 28 to 507 of the family's 1533-position model. The record is from RNAcentral.
GACGAACGCUGGCGGCGUGCCUAAUACAUGCAAGUUGAGCGCUGAAGGUUGGUACUUGUCCCCACUGGAUGAGCAGCGAACGGGUGAGUAACGCGUGGGGAAUCUGCCUUUGAGCGGGGGACAACAUUUGGAAACGAAUGCUAAUACCGCAUAAAAACUUUAAACACAAGUUUUAAGUUUGAAAGAUGCAAUUGCAUCACUCAAAGAUGAUCCCGCGUUGUAUUAGCUAGUUGGUGAGGUAAAGGCUCACCAAGGCGAUGAUACAUAGCCGACCUGAGAGGGUGAUCGGCCACAUUGGGACUGAGACACGGCCCAAACUCCUACGGGAGGCAGCAGUAGGGAAUCUUCGGCAAUGGACGAAAGUCUGACCGAGCAACGCCGCGUGAGUGAAGAAGGUUUUCGGAUCGUAAAACUCUGUUGGUAGAGAAGAACGUUGGUGAGAGUGGAAAGCUCAUCAAGUGACGGUAACUACCCAGAAGGGGACGGCUAACUACGUG